UACGGAGGAUGCGAGCGUUAUCCGGAUUCAUUGGGUUUAAAGGGUGCGUAGGCGGAAUGGUAAGUCAGGGGUGAAAGUUUGCCGCUCAACGGUAAAAUUGCCUUUGAUACUGUCAUUCUUGAGUACAUUUGAGGUAGGCGGAAUGUGAUAUGUAGCGGUGAAAUGCUUAGAUAUAUCACAGAACACCGAUUGCGAAGGCAGCUUACUAAACUGUAACUGACGCUGAGGCACGAAAGCGUGGGGAGCGAACAGG
RNAcentral lists this ribosomal RNA (253 nucleotides) under uncultured bacterium. RNAcentral describes it as "partial 16S ribosomal RNA". It matches the Rfam family "Bacterial small subunit ribosomal RNA", at positions 524 to 776 of the family's 1533-position model. The record is from RNAcentral.